UCGGGAAUUUUGGGCAAUGGGGGAAACCCUGACCCAGCAACGCCGCGUGAAGGAUGAAGUAUUUCGGUAUGUAAACUUCGAAAGAAUAGGAAGAAUAAAUGACGGUACUAUUUAUAAGGUCCGGCUAACUACGUGCCAGCAGCCGCGGUAAUACGUAGGGACCAAGCGUUGUUCGGAUUUACUGGGCGUAAAGGGUGCGCAGGCGGUUCUGUAAGUCAGAUGUGAAAUCCCCGGGCUUAACCUGGGAAUUGCGUUUGAAACUGCAGAGCUAGAGUGUGGCAGAGGGGGGUGGAAUUCCAUGUGUAGCAGUGAAAUGCGUAGAGAUAUGGAGGAACAUCGAUGGCGAAGGCAGCCCCCUGGGUUAACACUGACGCUCAUACACGAAAGCGUGGGUAGCAAACAGGAUUAGAUACCCCAGUAGUCCCUGAGCGGGCUGGCAAGGCGCAU
Molecule: ribosomal RNA, 447 nt
Filed under: uncultured bacterium
Lineage: Bacteria
Description: bacterial SSU rRNA
Rfam family: Bacterial small subunit ribosomal RNA
Source: RNAcentral